UGGGGAAUUUUGGACAAUGGGCGAAAGCCUGAUCCAGCAAUGCCGCGUGUGUGAAGAAGGCCUUCGGGUUGUAAAGCACUUUUGUCCGGAAAGAAAUCCUUGGCUCUAAUACAGUCGGGGGAUGACGGUACCGGAAGAAUAAGCACCGGCUAACUACGUGCCAGCAGCCGCGGUAAUACGUAGGGUGCAAGCGUUAAUCGGAAUUACUGGGCGUAAAGCGCGCGCAGGCGGUUUGCUAAGACCGAUGUGAAAUCCCCGGGCUCAACCUGGGAACUGCAUUGGUGACUGGCAGGCUAGAGUAUGGCAGAGGGGGGUAGAAUUCCACGUGUAGCAGUGAAAUGCGUAGAGAUGUGGAGGAAUACCGAUGGCGAAGGCAGCCCCCU
This 383-nucleotide ribosomal RNA is filed under the name uncultured bacterium. RNAcentral describes it as "partial 16S ribosomal RNA". It matches the Rfam family "Bacterial small subunit ribosomal RNA", at positions 355 to 730 of the family's 1533-position model. The record is from RNAcentral.